This 253-nucleotide ribosomal RNA is filed under the name Anaerobutyricum hallii. RNAcentral describes it as "partial 16S ribosomal RNA". It matches the Rfam family "Bacterial small subunit ribosomal RNA", at positions 524 to 776 of the family's 1533-position model. The record is from RNAcentral. Lineage: Bacteria; Bacillati; Bacillota; Clostridia; Lachnospirales; Lachnospiraceae.
UACGUAUGGAGCAAGCGUUAUCCGGAUUUACUGGGUGUAAAGGGUGCGUAGGUGGCAGUGUAAGUCAGAUGUGAAAGGCCGGGGCUCAACCCCGGAGCUACAUUUGAAACUGCUCGGCUAGAGUACAGGAGAGGCAGGCGGAAUUCCUAGUGUAGCGGUGAAAUGCGUAGAUAUUAGGAGGAACACCAGUGGCGAAGGCGGCCUGCUGGACUGUUACUGACACUGAGGCACGAAAGCGUGGGGAGCAAACAGG